CUCAAUGAAAUUCAAUAGCCGCAAUAUAAUUGUGCUAAGGUAGCAUAAUCAUUUGUUUUUUAAUUAAAAACCGGAACGAAAGAUUCAACAUUUUUAUUUCUUUCUCAUAUAUAUGAAUUUAAAUUAUUUCAAAUAUAAAAAAAUAUUUAUAUAUAAAAAAGACGAUAAGACCCUAUUGAACUUAACUAAAGUUUAACUGGGGUAGUUAAUUAAAUACAAUUUUAAUUUAAAAAUUAAAAAAACCUAAUAUCAUUAAAAUAAUCAAGUUACCAUAGGGAUAACAGCGCAAUAAUUUUCUUAAGAUCUUAUUAAAAAAAUUGUUUACGACCUCGAUGUUGAAUUAAUAAUCUAUUAAAUGCAACAAUUUAAUAACGAAAGUCCGUGUUACUU
This 390-nucleotide ribosomal RNA is filed under the name Longicoelotes sp. ZZ593. Its description in RNAcentral is "partial 16S ribosomal RNA". The record is from RNAcentral. Lineage: Eukaryota; Metazoa; Arthropoda; Arachnida; Araneae; Agelenidae.